Molecule: transfer RNA, 74 nt
Filed under: Stieleria marina
Lineage: Bacteria; Pseudomonadati; Planctomycetota; Planctomycetia; Pirellulales; Pirellulaceae
Also listed under: 4 other names
Description: Planctomycetes bacterium K23_9 tRNA-Asn
Rfam family: tRNA
About the family: Transfer RNA (tRNA) molecules are approximately 80 nucleotides in length.
Source: RNAcentral
UCCCCUGUAGCUCAGUUGGUAGAGCAGGCGGCUGUUAACCGCCUUGUCAGAGGUUCGAGUCCUCUCGGGGGAGC